CCUACGGGAGGCUGCAGUGGGGAAUUUUGGACAAUGGGCGAAAGCCUGAUCCAGCAAUGCCGCGUGAGUGAAGAAGGCCUUCGGGUUGUAAAGCUCUUUUGUGGAACGUUCGGUACCUGAAGAAUAAGCACCGGCUAACUACGUGCCAGCAGCCGCGGUAAUACGUAGGGUGCAAGCGUUAAUCGGAAUUACUGGGCGUAAAGCGUGCGCAGGCGGUUUUGUAAGUUUGUCGUGAAAGCCCCGGGCUCAACCUGGGAAUGGCGAUGAAGACUGCAAGGCUUGAAUCUGGCAGAGGGGGGUAGAAUUCCACGUGUAGCAGUGAAAUGCGUAGAGAUGUGGAGGAACACCGAUGGCGAAGGCAGCCCCCUGGGUCAGUUGACGCUCAUGCACGAAAGCGUGGGGAGCAAACAGGAUUAGAUACCCUUGUAGUC
Molecule: ribosomal RNA, 431 nt
Filed under: uncultured bacterium
Lineage: Bacteria
Description: partial 16S ribosomal RNA
Rfam family: Bacterial small subunit ribosomal RNA
Source: RNAcentral